GACGAACGCUGGCGGCGUGCCUAACACAUGCAAGUCGAACGGAGUAAGUAGCAAUACUUACUUAGUGGCGAACGGGUGAGUAACGCGUAGACAACCUGCCUCUAAAUUGGGGACAACACCGCGAAAGUGGUGCUAAUACCGAAUGUGGUAACUUGGUCGCAUGACUGAGUUAAGAAAGAUGGUCUCUACCUGUAAGCUAUCGAUUUGAGAUGGGUCUGCGUCUGAUUAGCUAGUUGGUGAGGUAAUGGCUCACCAAGGCGACGAUCAGUAGCCGGUCUGAGAGGAUGAACGGGCACACUGGGACUGAGACACGGCCCAGACUCCUACGGGAGGCAGCAGUGGGGAAUCUUCCGCAAUGGACGAAAGUCUGACGGAGCAACGCCGCGUGAGUGAAGAAGGUUUUCGGAUCGUAAAGCUCUGUCGUUUGGGACGAACGUAUCUUGUGUGAAUAAUGCAAGGUAAUGACGGUACCAAAGGAGGAAGCCACGGCUAACUACGUGCCAGCCGCCGCCGUAA
Molecule: ribosomal RNA, 516 nt
Filed under: uncultured bacterium
Lineage: Bacteria
Description: partial 16S ribosomal RNA
Rfam family: Bacterial small subunit ribosomal RNA
Source: RNAcentral